Molecule: long non-coding RNA, 364 nt
Filed under: Homo sapiens (human)
Lineage: Eukaryota; Metazoa; Chordata; Mammalia; Primates; Hominidae
Description: HSALNT0117532
Source: RNAcentral
ACAGAUGGCUUUUACCACACCUUUGCAUGAUCGCUUAUGGUAAUAGGACUGCGGUGCCCUGAGACGUGGGGAUCUGCGUGAGUGCCCCCGGCAAAGUCUGCUCUUCCGGCCUCGAAUCUGGAUCCCAGGCUUGAGGAACAGUCAAGCUUGAGUUCUCUUGGCCUUUCCUGGACAUCUGUCCUGAGGCUGCUCUCAUUUAAGCCUCACGGAGGAAACCCAAGUUUCUGCAGCAGGAGAGGGGCGUGACCCCAGGGACAGCCGGAGAAGACGGUGUAGAACCAGCUGUCACGGAGCCUGAUGUCCGGCCUGGAGCAUCAGCCCAUCACCUUCAGAGUGGACCCGAGGGCCUCACCUGCCACCUGGG